GACGAACGCUGGCGGCGUGCUUAACACAUGCAAGUCGAACGGGAACCUUUAUUUCGGUAAAGGUGAGAGUGGCAAACGGGUGAGUAACACGUAGGCAACCUGCCGACAGGAUGGGGACAACAUUCCGAAAGGAAUGCUAAUACCGAAUGAAGUCGAGGGAAGGCAUCUUCUUUUGAUGAAAGAUGGCCUCUGAAUAUGCUAUCGCCUGUCGAUGGGCCUGCGUCUGAUUAGCCAGUUGGCGGGGUAACGGCCCACCAAAGCGACGAUCAGUAGCCGGUCUGAGAGGAUGAACGGCCACAUUGGGACUGAGACACGGCCCAGACUCCUACGGGAGGCAGCAGUGGGGAAUCUUCCACAAUGGGCGAAAGCCUGAUGGAGCAACGCCGCGUGAGUGAAGAAGGUCUUCGGAUCGUAAAGCUCUGUUGUACGGGACGAAAACCGGGUUUGAGAAUAUUGAACCC
Molecule: ribosomal RNA, 461 nt
Filed under: Selenomonas sp. oral taxon 442
Lineage: Bacteria; Bacillati; Bacillota; Negativicutes; Selenomonadales; Selenomonadaceae
Description: bacterial SSU rRNA
Rfam family: Bacterial small subunit ribosomal RNA
Source: RNAcentral